AUGCAAGUCUAAGGAGAACGUAUUCUUCGGAAUACUAUUAAACUGGCGAACGGGUGAGUAACGCGUAGGCGACCUGCCCUAUAGUUUGGAAUAACCUCGUGAAAAUGGGGCUAAUACCGGAUAAUAUUGUAAAAUCAAAGGAGGACGCUCUUCGGAGCUCUUUCGCUAUAGGAUGGGCCUGCGUCUGAUUAGCUAGAUGGUAAGGUAAAUGCUUACCAUGGCAAUGAUCAGUAGUUGGUCUGAGAGGAUGAUCAGCCACACUGGGACUGAGAUACGGCCCAGACGCCUACGGGAGGCAGCAGUGAGGAAUUUUGCGCAAUGGGCGAAAGCCUGACGCAGCAACGCCGCGUGAUCGAAGAAGCUUUGCGGAGUGUAAAGAUCUGUCAUAAGGGAAGAACAGUAUGUAUUCUAACACAAUACAUACCUGACGGUACCUUAUAAGAAAGCCCCGGCUAACUUCGUGCCAGCAGCCGCGGUAAUACGAGGGGGGCAAGCGUUGUCCGGAUUUAUUGGGCGUAAAGGGUUCGUAGGUGGACUAGUCAGUCAAAAUUGAAAUCCAAUGGCUUAACCAUUGUCACGGUUUUGAUACUACUAGUCUUGAGUUAAAUAGAGGUAAGUGGAAUUCCUGGUGUAGCGGUGAAAUGCGUAGAUAUCAGGAGGAACGCCAAAGGAGAAGUCAGCUUACUGGAUUUAUACUGACACUGAGGAACGAAAGCGUGGGUAGCAAACAGGAUUAGAGACCCUGGUAGUCCACGCUGUAAACGAUGAGCACUAGAUGGUGGGUGAUUCGACCCUCUCACUGUUACAGUUAACGCUUUAAGUGCUCCGCCUGGGAAGUACGUUCGCAAGAAUGAAACUCAAAGGAAUUGACGGGGACCCGCACAAGCGGUGGAUUAUGUGGUUUAAUUCGAUGCAACGCGAAGAA
RNAcentral lists this ribosomal RNA (925 nucleotides) under uncultured marine bacterium. RNAcentral describes it as "bacterial SSU rRNA". It matches the Rfam family "Bacterial small subunit ribosomal RNA", at positions 55 to 968 of the family's 1533-position model. The record is from RNAcentral.